Molecule: non-coding RNA, 5579 nt
Organism: Rattus norvegicus (Norway rat)
Lineage: Eukaryota; Metazoa; Chordata; Mammalia; Rodentia; Muridae
Source: RefSeq, a predicted model, not a curated record
CCCCUUGGUGUGGAUCUGUUUCAUUCAACAAAAUGGAAGGGUUCCCUGAGACCUGGGCAAAGACAUCUCCUGGGUUGGGCACCCCUCUUUAGGAGAUUCCUGGCCAUCCUCCAGCCAGGUCCCUUCCCAAAGGACAAGGACUCCAGGACAGCUCCAAACAGGCCAUAACAGUAUGAGUGUUUCUACAUGUGUGACUGUACACCAAGUACACGCUGGACUCCCUGCCCCAGGAGCCAGAAGAGAGAAUCAGAUCCCCUUGAACUCCAUUGUGAACCUCCAUGUGGUCUUCUGGAAGAGCAGUCAAUAUUCCCAGCCACUAAGCCAUCUCUCCAGCUUCUCAAGGAUGUAGCCCUAGUUGGCCCAGAACUCAAUAUAUAGGCCAGACUAUCCCUGAAUUCAUAGAGACCCACUUGCCUCUGUCUCCUGACUGCUGGGAUUAAAGGUGGAUGCCAUUACCUUAUUUUUUUUAAAUCAUUUAUUUACUUUAUUUAUAUGAGUACAUUGUCACUGUCUUCAGACACACCAGAAGAGGACAUCUGAUCCCAUUACAGACGGGAUUUGAACUCAGGACCCUCUGAAGAGAAGUCAGGGCUCUUAACCACUGAGCCAUCUCUCCAGCCCCCCCCCCCCAUCAUCUUAUUUUGCCACAUUUUAUUUUGACAUAGGAUUUCCUUCUGAGCCUGGAGUUUAUGGAUUCGCCAAGACUAGCUGGCCAACCAGCUCCGGUUCUCCUGUUGUUUCCCCAGUGGUAGGCUCACGGAUAGGUGCCAUCCAGCCUAGGCUUUUCAUGGGUAUUGGAAAUUUGAACUCAGGCCCCCGUGCUUGUACAUCAAACACUUUAUUGCCAACCAUCUAUCCCCUCAGUCUGGAGUCUGAAUAUCUUCUGUGGAGUCUGGACCUCCAGGGAGUUACCAUGGUUCACUUGUAAAGGUAAGCAUAUGGCGCACGUUUAUUGAUAAUGGUCAGAUUAAUUUUUGUGAGACUUAAAUUUUAGGCAUAUUUACCGUCAUUGUGCAUAGUCUGGCCUAGUAUCCUCUAAAUGGUGGGUGGACUUCGCAUCCGAAAUGUAUGUCUGCUUAUUAUUUGGGGUCUCACUCUGUGCCCACAAAGGCCUGGGACUUACCACGUAAACCAGGUUGGUUUCCAGUGCUCAUCAGGUCUCUUGCCUUUGUCUCCCAAGUAUUGAGAUGGUUGCUGGCAUAGCUCACCGUGCCUGGCCUGUUUAACUCUGUUACAAGUCAAUGACUUUGACAUAUUCUCAGAGUUUCACAGCCAUCAUCAUAAUCUUUUUUUUUUUUAAAAGAAAGGGUCUCAUAUAGCCUAGGCUAGUCUCAAAUUUCCUAUCUAGUCAAGGGUAUCCUCAAACCCCUGGUAUCCCUGACUCUGCCUUAAGACUACUUAUGUUUGUUUAUUUGUUUGUUUAUUUGAGAUGGGGUUUCCCGUGUAGCCCUGGCUGUCCUAGAACUAACUCAUUCUGAGGACCAGGCUGGUCUCAAACUCAGACAUCUGCCUGACUCUGCCUCUGGAGUGCUGGGAUUGAAGAUGUGCGUCAUCACUGCCUGGUAUGUGUGCUGUUUUUACGGCUGGGCAUAAAGCUGGCUGGCAUCAUGUUGCCAAGGUUCACCCACUUGUAGCACAUCAGUGCUCCGUUCCUUUUUUGUGGCUGAGUAAUAUUUCAUUAUGCAGAUGAUAUACAUUUUAUCCAUUAAUUAAUUAGUUAAUGGACACGAGAUAUUUAGACUUUUGGGACACCGUGGAUAAUAUAGCUAAACAUAUUCAUGAACAAGGGUUGUGAGAGCAUAUAUUUUCAUUUUCCUUGUUAUAUACCUAGGAAUGGAAUUUGGGUUACAUAGAAAUUCAAUACUUAACUUUUCUAACUAAAACAGGGUCUCCUGUUGUACAGGCCUUGACCCCGAACUCCUAAUCCUCCAACCCUACACUCACAGAUGCUGGGGUCACAGGCAUGGGCCACCACGCUCAGUGCUUAACCUUUUAAGAAACUUCAGACUGGGGCCUGGAGAGAUGGCUCAGUGGUUAAGAGCACUGACUGCUUUUCCAGAGGUCCUGAGUUCAAUUCCCAGGAACCACAUGGUGGCUCACAACCAUCUGUAAUGAGAUCUGAUGCCCUCUUCUGGUGUGUCUGAAGACAGCUACAGUGUACUUAUAUAUAAUAAAUAAAUCUUUAAAAAAAAAAAAGAAACUUCAGACUGUGUUCCAAAGAGGCUGUACCAUUUCCCUUCCCGCCAAUGAAGUAUGAAAAUUCCAGUUUCUCUUGGCCCUUGUCAACCUUCGUUCAUUGUUUAUUUUGAGUGUGGUCACGCUAAGGAUAUUAGCGCUCUGUGGUUUUGAUUUGCAUCUCUAUGACAACUGGUAUCCUUGUAUUUUCAUAGCUUACUUGCUCAUGUUUGUAUCUUGUCUGAGGAAACAUCUAUUUGGAACCAUCUCUUUCUUUUUUUUUUUUUUUUUUUGGUUCUUUUUUUCGGAGCUGGGGACCGAACCCAGGGCCUUGCGCUUCCUAGGCAAGCGCUCUACCACUGAGCUAAAUCCCCAACCCUGGAACCAUCGCUUUCUAAGAGGUCAGCAGCCAUCCAGUUGUAAGGCCACUUGUGACACACACAGCUAGUUUCUUACCUAAGGAUGGAGAUUUGAACUUGGCUCCCCAUGGUUGCACAUCAAGUCCCUUACUCACUGAGAUGUCUCCUCAGCCCUACUUUUUCUUUUAGCUAGAAUGUACAGGCUUGUAUGUUGAUAGCGAUAUUAAAAAAUGAAGUAAGAACUAAUAAAACUGAAGAUAAGGAGCCAAUAAAGUCAAUAAAACCACAAUUUUGGUUUCGUUUUAUAACAAGAGAAAGAUAGAAAAAACCCUCUAGUAAGACUGAGAAACAGAAAAAAUACAAUUGUAAAAAUUAUAACAGCUGAUAAAAUAGAGGUACCGAAGACAUCAAGUAAAGGUAAUCUGUAACAGUACUUGAAUGGAAUUUUAUUUAUUAUGUGUGUCUGAGCACACGCCAUGUGUGGAGGUAAGAGGACAAGUUGCUCAUUCCUUUCAUCUUUAUGUGGCUGGAUGGGGCUGAGGUCACCAGGCUUGCAUGACAAGAACCUGGACUGCUGAGUUAGUCUGCAGGCCCUGUAGCUCAGCAAUGCCUUUAAAAAGAGACAACUGGAGGCUGGGCAUGGAGCUCAGGGAUAGAGCACUUGCUAAGUCUGUCUCUUGCUAAGCCUGUGCACGGGCCUGAGUUUCAUCCCAGCACUGCCCAAAACAAAAGAAAGGCGGCAACUUUGAAAAAAAUGACCUAAUACACGUGUGCACUUAUCACCAUAAACAUGUCUCAUUCGCUAGUUAUGCUCCACUCUGUACAUCCGGGUAAGCAGUACUGGAUACUCAGGAGAACGUUACAUUGUAUCACAUAUAAACUAUUCCAGAGGAAAAACCUCCAGGGAAAGCAACUGCUGUUCGUUGGUGAGACAGGGGCAGUUUGAACAGAGGAAAUUACAGGCCAGGCUCCCGUUCUCCCAACCGAGGCAGAAGUCCUAGGUAAAUAUUAACAAGCCAGACCCAGCAGUAUAUUAAAACGAUAACAGAAAAACAAACUCAAUCAAAUUACAGUCAUCUAAGGCUUUAUCCCACGAAUAAGAUGUGGGUUGUGAUGAGAAGACUCCCAGUGAGGCUUACAGCAUUAGUAAACUGAGGAGAAAACGAAGGGAUGGUCUCAAGCUCAGGAGAGCUACAGAAAACUCAGCAUUCUUUUUGAUAGUUGCUAUUGUUUUAGUUUCUUGAGACAAGGCCUUGUUUGGUCCAGGCUGCCUUUGAAUUCCUUGUAUAGCCGAGGGGUAGGUUUGAACACCUGAUCUUGUUGCUGCCAGCUCUUGAGUAGUAGGAUGAUAGGCUUGCAACACACACCUGGCUCUUGGACACUUUUGUUUUGUUUUUGUUUUUCCAGACAGGGUCUCUCUGUGUAGCCCUGGCUAUCCUGGAACUCACUCUGUAGACCAGGCUGUCCUCAGAACUCAAGAGAUCAACCUGCCUCUGUCUCCUGUGGGCUGGGAUAAAAAGGCGUGCGCCACCACCUGGCUUCGACAUUCUUUUUUUGUUUCAACUUUUUAUUCCAUCCAGUGUGUGUGUACUGACAGGUGUGCAGAGGUAUGCAUGUGGGGGGACAGAGAAGACACUGAUGCAGUUGACUUUCUCCUUCCACUGUGUGGGCCCCAGGGAUCAUCAGACUUUGGCAGCAAGCCCUCCUACCCCCUGAGCAAUUUUGCCAACCCUUCUAAUUCUUUUUGAGAGCUCUUAGUACAUCAAGAUCAGAAGGGAGACUCCCCUGUACGUAGAUUGGAACCUCGAUUACUAUGUCACCAUCUGACCUCACUCUUCCCUCCCAGCCGCUUCUCUCUGUCCUCUUUCCCUCAGGGAACAGCAGCUAAGGCCUUCAACUCUCUAUUGCCUGACAUCUGUCUUUUGUUCUCCGCCAUCCCAGUUCAGAUUCAUCUGGAAAUCUCAAGGGUCCGUCCUUCAGAAAGUAUCCAGCAUCCAACCACAUUUCCCCAUCUGCAUGGCCACCCUGCUCCAAACCAUUGCCACCGCCACCGUCUCACCGCGGAGAUCUCCUUCCUUGAGUAUGAAGACACAGCUCAUCAUGGUUGAAAGGCAAGACAGCAGGACCAUGGUGUAGCUGGUCACACUGCCUCUGCAGUAAGGAAGCAGGAGACAGGGAAUGCUGGUGCUCAGCUGCCUCACUCCUCUCCCCACUUGAUCCCAGCCCAUGAGAUGCUACCACUCGUGUUCAAGGUAGGUCUUCCCUCCUCCAGUAAACCGCCCUGGGAACUCAUUCAUAGACAGGCCAAUAGGUGUACCUCUUACUGAGACCAAAUCAAGUCAGGUUGACAAUGAGGAUGAACCUUUCCAAGCAUACCCCUUGUCAAUUUGGCACCCAAAUAUAUCACUUUAAAUUUUUUUUUAAUUUUGUAUGCACUGUGCACAUGUGGAGGUCAGGGGACAAUUUUCAGAAGUUGGUUCUCUCCUACCACCAGGUGGGUCCCAGGGAUCUAACUCAGAUCAUCAGGGUUGGCAGUAGGUGCCUUUACCUGUGAGUGAUCUCACAUCAAACAUAUCACUUUUAACUUUAGGCAUCUUAUAAUGCAAAAUGCAUUUAUUCAAAACUUAAUAGAGGGCUGGAGAGAUGGCUUAGUGGUUAAGAGCACUAGCUGCUCUUCCAGAGGACCCGGGUUCAUCCCCAAGCACCCACAUGGUAGCUCAUAAUAGUCUGUAACUCCAGUUCCAGGGGAUCUGACACCAACGCACAUGAAAUAAAAUUGUUGGUUUUUUUUUUUUUUUUUGGUUCUUUUUUUUGGAGCUGGGGACCGAACCCAGGGCCUUGCGCUUCCUAGGUAAGCGCUCUUACCACUGAGCUAAAUCCCCAGCCCCCAUAAAAUUGUUUUUUUAAAAGAACACUGGUUGCUCUUGUAAGAAGACCUAGGUUCAGUUCCAGUACCACAUGGUGGCUCACAACUGCUGUAACUCCUGUUCCAGGGGACACAACGCCCUCUCCUGGACCUCCAUGGGUGUGGUACACAUACAUGCA